Molecule: small RNA, 29 nt
Filed under: Bombyx mori (domestic silkworm)
Lineage: Eukaryota; Metazoa; Arthropoda; Insecta; Lepidoptera; Bombycidae
Description: ovarian small RNA-29869
Source: RNAcentral
UCUCUUACGAGGCGGCGCGCCCUAGCGCA